GUGAUGUUAGGUCGUGCAUGGGCAUUAAUAAGUAGGCGGCAAGCGUUGGUCGGAGUGACUUGGCGUAAAGGGUGUGUAGGCGGUUGUUUAAGUUUGGUGUGAAAUCUCCCGGCGCAACUGGGAGGGGGCGCCGAAUACUGGAUGACUAGAGUGCGGGAGAGGAGAGUGGAAUGCCUGGUGUAGCGGUGAAAUGCGUAGAUAUCAGGAGGAACACCGGUGGUGUAGACGGCUCUCUGGACCGUAACUGACGCUGAGACACGAAAGCGUGGGUAGCAAACAGGAUUAGAUACUCGAGUAGUC
Molecule: ribosomal RNA, 300 nt
Filed under: uncultured Bacillus sp.
Lineage: Bacteria; Bacillati; Bacillota; Bacilli; Caryophanales; Bacillaceae
Description: bacterial SSU rRNA
Rfam family: Bacterial small subunit ribosomal RNA
Source: RNAcentral